CUACAUUAAUUUACAUAAGAAUAAAGGUAUAUCUCAUCGGACCAUACCGAUCGUCAGUUUCUACAGCACUGCUGCUGAUACUAAUAAUAUUGCGUUUGCACAAUUGUUACGUCUUAUCGCGUUAUUUGUCUUGCAAUAAGUCGACGUCUUAACACUUUACCGACCGAUAGUCUAUUAAUCGGUGUUUUGUCACCGAUGUUUACCGACCGAUAACCUAUCAAUCGGCUUUUUGUCGCUAAUGAUUACCGACCGAUAGCC
Molecule: unclassified non-coding RNA, 258 nt
Filed under: Bombus terrestris (buff-tailed bumblebee)
Lineage: Eukaryota; Metazoa; Arthropoda; Insecta; Hymenoptera; Apidae
Description: misc RNA ENSBTSG00005025753.1
Source: RNAcentral